CAACUCGUCCCUGAUGUGUGCAGGUCACAGCUGUUUGGGAUGUCAGAUCCUUAAUCUGCUGAGUGGGGCCAGAGAUCAAACCUACAUCCUUAUGGUUACCAGUUGGGUUCAUUAUUGCUGAGCCACAACAGGAACUCCUUGAUUUCUUUUAACGGUGGACUUCAGUGAGUAGGGGAGGCAGGGAAUACUCAUGUGAAGAACCCUGUGGAGUGCGGCAGACUGAUCCCUGAACUUUCACUGCAGGCAUCCUCAGCCCUGGCUUCCUACAUAGCUUUCUUUUACUGAACGUACAGAAAGCUGUGGCUUUUCCUGCCAAGAUAGGGGCCUGGAAGUGCCUGAAAAGAGGCAUUUUCUGAUACAGUAAAAUAGGGUUUUAGCUAACCAUCCUCUCUCCUGUUUGGGCCCCUGAACAGUCUAGGAACUUCCUGGAAGUGUAUGAAGGGAGGCAGAAUAGGGUCACCCUGUAAGACUGGCUGGUCAUCCACAGAGACUCCCGCUGGUGUCACCUCACCUCAGAGCUUAGUCUGACUGGCCCUCAGCCUUGUCUGGCUCAAGAUCUGAUCUAUUAACACACAAAGAGUGGAUCAGCUCUCUGGGAGCUAACUCUUUAACCCAACUCUCAGAUACUGAUGUAUGUGCAGGCGUAUUUUGAUCUCCUAACCAAUGUGGUUUUUUUUCUGUUUCCUGUUGCUCUGUAACCUUCCCUCCCUUUGAGAUGGCUGCACCCUGAGACAUCUUUCACCUCAAGGCAAGCCUGUAGAGCAGAUUGCAGAGGCCAGAAGACUAAGGACUUAGCUCAACCUGAGUUAGUGUCUUCCCCCGCCCCAGACUGGAUCAAGUUUUCUCAGACUGAGAAAUGCAGGGCCCCAGGCACCUGGGAGGGUCUGCCCUUGCCCCUUGGUGGCAUCUAAUGUUGAAGACGGAAUGAGAAGAUCAGCUCUCUUUUCUUUUCUUUUUAGGGCCACACCCAAGGCAUAUGGAAGUUCUUCUUGCCCUUGCCCACCUUCAUGACUGAGAGUGCAGCAAAAAAUGGCAAAGAAAAAACAUCAUACAUCAUAAGACGUUGAAAGACUGCAGAAAAAAGGGAAAAGCUUUUUUCCUUUUUUUAUGAAAAAGGGGCCCCACAUUUUCAUUUCACACUGGGCCCUGCAAAUAUGUAGUUAGUUGAACCUGCUGGCAGAUAAAGAAUUCCUGAAGGAGUUAGCCAAAGUCUAAGAAUAUUCUGGGGGUUUUGUGGCUUAAGUACUAAUGUCAGUUAGCUCUGCCCAAAUUUGGAACAAUGUUGGGGCUAUUUCAAGCCCUGUGAAAUGUCAACAAUAGUGGUAAAGGACUAUUGGCAAACCAAAUAUGAAGAGACUGCACAUAUGAUAAGUAAAAAAUCAACUUGCUAGAAGGUAUUGGUGGAUUUUCAGCUUUAUUUGUAAGAGGAAGAAGAUGGAUAGAAAAGACUGUCUGGUUGCUCCUCUUGAAGCCAGCUUUUUUACCCUGAUAAUCUAGGAUCAGAUCUGAGGAUCAAAACUUCAGAGAAUCUUGAUUUGAAAAGAGAGUUGAGGAGUUCCCGUCGUGGCACAACAGAAGUGAAUGUGACCAGGAAACACGAGGUUUCGGGUUCAGUCCCUGGCCUCGCUUCGUGGGUUAAGAAUCCGGUGUUGCUGUGAGCUGUGGUGUAGGUCACAGACUUGGCUUGGAUCCUGCAUUGCUGUGGCUGUGGUGUAGGACAGCGGUUACAGUUCCAAUUAGACCCCUACCCUGGAACUUCCAUAUGCCUCGGGUGCAGCCCUAAAAAGCAAAAAAAAAAAAAAAAACAAAAAAACAAAAAAAAAAA
RNAcentral lists this long non-coding RNA (1825 nucleotides) under Sus scrofa (pig). Its description in RNAcentral is "lncRNA (ENSSSCG00025048950.1)". Lineage: Eukaryota; Metazoa; Chordata; Mammalia; Artiodactyla; Suidae. The record is from RNAcentral.